Molecule: ribosomal RNA, 251 nt
Filed under: uncultured bacterium
Lineage: Bacteria
Also listed under: 1 other name
Description: partial 16S ribosomal RNA
Rfam family: Bacterial small subunit ribosomal RNA
Source: RNAcentral
UACGGAGGGUGCAAGCGUUAAUCGGAAUUACUGGGCGUAAAGCGCACGCAGGCGGUUUGUUAAGUCAGAUGUGAAAUCCCCGCGCUUAACGUGGGAACUGCAUUUGAAACUGGCAAGCUAGAGUCUUGUAGAGGGGGGUAGAAUUCCAGGUGUAGCGGUGAAAUGCGUAGAGAUCUGGAGGAAUACCGGUGGCGAAGGCGGCCCCCUGGACAAAGACUGACGCUCAGGUGCGAAAGCGUGGGGAGCAAACA